Molecule: ribosomal RNA, 292 nt
Filed under: uncultured bacterium
Lineage: Bacteria
Description: partial 16S ribosomal RNA
Rfam family: Bacterial small subunit ribosomal RNA
Source: RNAcentral
GUGCCAGCCGCCGCGGUAAUACGUAGGUGGCGAGCGUUAUCCGGAUUUACUGGGCGUAAAGUGAGCGCAGACGGUUCUUCAAGUCAGAUGUUAAAUCUCUCAGCCUAACUGGGUGGUCGCAUUUGAUACUGUUGAACUAGAGGACAAUAGGGGGAGGUAGAAUUCCCGGUGUAGUGGUGGAAUGCGUAGAUAUCGGGAGGAAUACCAGUGGCGAAGGCGGCCUCCUGGGUUGUUUCUGACGUUCAUGCUCGAAGGUGUGGGGAGCAAACAGGAUUAGAAACCCCCGUAGUCC